This 882-nucleotide ribosomal RNA is filed under the name uncultured archaeon. Its description in RNAcentral is "bacterial SSU rRNA". It matches the Rfam family "Archaeal small subunit ribosomal RNA", at positions 34 to 925 of the family's 1478-position model. The record is from RNAcentral.
CGGAAGAACUAAGCCAUGCGAGUCAUUGUAGCAAUACAAGGCAGACGGCUCAGUAACGCGUAGUCAAUCUACCCUAUGGACGGGAAUAACCUCGGGAAACUGAGAAUAAUGCCCGAUAGAACAUUAUACCUGGAACGGUUUAUGUUUCAAAUGAUUUAUCGCCGUAGGAUGGGACUGCGGCCUAUCAGUUUGUUGGUGAGGUAAUGGCCCACCAAGACUAUUACAGGUACGGGCUCUGAGAGGAGUAGCCCGGAGAUGGGUACUGAGACACGGACCCAGGCCCUAUGGGGCGCAGCAGGCGAGAAAACUUUGCAAUGUGCGAAAGCACGACAAGGUUAAUCCGAGUGGUUUCUGCUAAAGAAACCUUUUGCUAGUCCUAGAAACACUAGUGAAUAAGGGGUGGGCAAGUUCUGGUGUCAGCCGCCGCGGUAAAACCAGCACCUCAAGUGGUCAGGAUGAUUAUUGGGCCUAAAGCAUCCGUAGCUCGUUUUGUAAGUUUUCGGUUAAAUCCAUAUGCUCAACGUAUGGGCUGCCGGGAAUACUGCAUAACUAGGAAGUGGGAGAGGUAGACGGUACUCGGUAGGAAGGGGUAAAAUCCUUUGAUCUAUUGAUGACCACCUGUGGCGAAGGCGGUCUACCAGAACACGUUCGACGGUGAGGGAUGAAAGCUGGGGGAGCAAACCGGAUUAGAUACCCGGGUAGUCCCAGCUGUAAACUAUGCAAACUCAGUGAUGCAUUGGCUUGUGGCCAAUGCAGUGCUGCAGGGAAGCCGUUAAGUUUGCCGCCUGGGAAGUACGUACGCAAGUAUGAAACUUAAAGGAAUUGGCGGGGGAGCACCACAAGGGUGAAGCCUGCGGUUCAAUUGGAGUCAACGCCGGAAUC